This is a long non-coding RNA of Scylla paramamosain (green mud crab), 515 nucleotides long. RefSeq lists it as uncharacterized. The record is from RefSeq and is a predicted model, not a curated record. Lineage: Eukaryota; Metazoa; Arthropoda; Malacostraca; Decapoda; Portunidae. The transcript is spliced from 2 exons.
AGGCGUGGGACAAGCUCGCGUGUCUUGGGUAUGACCUAAUUAACAAACAGGCACGCAUGAUGAUGGGAUGAAGGGCGGCCGGCGGCGAGCGAGUGAGUGAGCUGCCUUGACACGGGAGGAGCUGUGGCGAGACUCAAGAGGCUGCAGGGAAGAAAAUGAGACAAGAGGAAGCUGUAAGGAAGAGAGAUGAAUGGACACCGAGGAGAAGAGGCAGAAGAGAAAGAGAGACAAGAGGAAGAAAAGAAAAGCAGAGGAGAAAGAGGAAGAAAAGAAAAGCAGAGGAGAAAGAGGAAGAAAAGAGAAACGAAGGAUGAAAUUAUAAUGAAGGAGGAAGAGAGGAAGGAUGGAAAACUGUAGUGAAGAAGGAAGGGAGGGAGAGAGAAAACCAUCAUUAUUAGGUCCGCUGUUUGUAUGUCAAAAUAUUUUACACACACAUUUUUACACCCACAGUAAAAAAAAAUAAAUAAAAACCCAAAAAUGCAAUAGUGAAGACCCUCAGGACUUUUAAAAACACU